UCAACUUAAUAUUAGAUAUACUAUUUCUAAACACUGCAAAAUGACAACAUUGAGUUCAAAAACUGUUAUGAUUAAACUUUGCGUUCAAAAUAAUGCUAAAUAAUGCAUAUAAAAUCAAACAGAUUUUGAAAGAACAUCAUCUUUUCCACAACAUAAAGAUAUGAUGAAUGGAUUAAUCCAAUAUUAAAUUAUAAUAAUUUGGGCUUGAAUGUUAUUUCAUUAAUUAAAAGUUGUUUAAGACUAAAUAAGGUUAUAGCAAAACUUAGGAACUUAAAAGCUUUAAACACAGACAAAUACAAAUACAAAUAUGAGCAAAUAUAUACACAUAAUUAUAUGUAUACUAGAAAUUGUAUACUACAAUUUUUUCAAAUUAAUGAUAUAUUUUUAACUAAUACACAAAUAAUUAUAUUGUUGAAGAACAGAAAGUAGGUUCAAAUAACAAUGAAGAAAUCCAUUUAUAUAUUCUAAAAACUGAAAGUGUCUGUAGUCCAAAUCCAUAAGAAUACCAUAGAAACCUUUGCUAAAGACAAUGACAUAUCAAUACAAACACCGUCUACAGGAUGUAAAAGAAAAAGACAAGAGCCAACAAUUUUUAAACAUUUUGAUGUCACUGCAACCACAAGUGCUGAACAUAGUAUCGAUGAAACUAAUGAAACUGUUGAAAGUUAUUUUUAAAAAAAUGCGUUCUUUCCUGUAUUUGAUGCUAUCUUGAUAAAUCUAGAAAAAAGGUUUUCUUUUGAAAGCCUCCAAAUGGCUACAGCUGUUGAUCAAUUUUUUCAACUUAACUUUGAAGAAAGUAUUUAUUUUGUAGAUCAAUAUAAAGAUUUAAUGUGUGUAUCUAAAGAUGUAUUGAAGUCAGAAAUGGCAGUGGUAAAGAAUUGUAUUAUGCAAUUUACUGAAAAAAACUGUAUAACUUUAAAUUAUAUAAAAAAAGUUUUAACAAAAAAUGUUUUUCCUAAUUUUUAUAAAUUAUUUCAAGUUGCUAUGACAAUACCAAUAAGUUCCUCAUUUUGUGAGAGGAGUUUUUCGGCGAUGCGCCGAAUUAAAAUUUGGCUUCGAACUUCUAUGUUGCAAGAACGGUUCAACAACACAUCAAUAUUGUAUAUUGAAAAAAACAUAACUAAAUGUUACCGAUUACCGAUACUGUUAUUGAUAUAUUUGCAAAAAAAAAUAGAUUAAUAACAUUAAAAUAAAAACAAAUUUAAUAGCUUUAAA
Long non-coding RNA from Rhopalosiphum padi (bird cherry-oat aphid), 1215 nucleotides. RefSeq lists it as uncharacterized. The transcript is spliced from 4 exons. NCBI's taxonomy places the organism in Eukaryota, Metazoa, Arthropoda, Insecta, Hemiptera, Aphididae. The record is from RefSeq and is a predicted model, not a curated record.